This 308-nucleotide ribosomal RNA is filed under the name Salmonella enterica subsp. enterica serovar Typhimurium. Its description in RNAcentral is "partial 23S ribosomal RNA". It matches the Rfam family "Bacterial large subunit ribosomal RNA", at positions 2635 to 2925 of the family's 2925-position model. The record is from RNAcentral. Lineage: Bacteria; Pseudomonadati; Pseudomonadota; Gammaproteobacteria; Enterobacterales; Enterobacteriaceae.
UCCCUAUCUGCCGUGGGCGCUGGAGAACUGAGGGGGGCUGCUCCUAGUACGAGAGGACCGGAGUGGACGCAUCACUGGUGUUCGGGUUGUCAUGCCAAUGGCACUGCCCGGUAGCUAAAUGCGGAAGAGAUAAGUGCUGAAAGCAUCUAAGCACGAAACUUGCCCCGAGAUGAGUUCUCCCUGAGACUUAGAGUCUCCUGAAGGAACGUUGAAGACGACGACGUUGAUAGGCCGGGUGUGUAAGCGCAGCGAUGCGUUGAGCUAACCGGUACUAAUGAACCGUGAGGCUUAACCUUACAACGCCGAAG